This 372-nucleotide ribosomal RNA is filed under the name uncultured organism. Its description in RNAcentral is "bacterial SSU rRNA". It matches the Rfam family "Bacterial small subunit ribosomal RNA", at positions 526 to 896 of the family's 1533-position model. The record is from RNAcentral.
CGGAGGUCCCGAGCGUUGUUCGGAUUCACUGGGCGUAAAGGGUGCGUAGGUGGUGAGGUAAGUCGGAUGUGAAAUCUCCGGGCUCAACCCGGAAAUGGCAUUGGAAACUACCUUGCUGGAGGAUUUGAGGGGGGAUUGGAAUACUUGGUGUAGCAGUGAAAUGCGUAGAUAUCAAGUGGAACACCAGUGGCGAAGGCGAAUCCCUGGAAAAUACCUGACACUGAGGCACGAAAGCUAGGGGAGCAAACAGGAUUAGAUACCCUGGUAGUCCUAGCCCUAAACGGUGCUUGCUUGCUGUAAGAGGAAUCGACCCCUCUUGUGGCGGAGCUAACGCGUUAAGCAAGCCGCCUGGGAAGUACGGUCGCAAGAUUA